CAACAACCAAAACAACAACUAAAGCAACCAAAGCAACAACCAGACCAAAAACAACAACAACCAAAGCAUCAACCAAAGCAACAACCAGACCAACAACAACAACAGACCCAACAGCAGCAGAAACAAGCCUAAAUGCAGGUUGUUGGAUCAGGUUCAUCUUUGUUCUUGUGGGUGUAGCAGCACUCUCAAUGAUUGUUGUGUCAGUCAACAUUUGGACCAGAACAAAAGGUUCCAAAACACAUCGUGGCAAGAAGCAGCACAGUGAUGAAGAUGAUGAUGUGGUGACGUAUGAAAAUGCUGAAGAUGUUUCUGCUCCUGUUAGAUUCCACAGAUCAACAAAUCAGCUGUGAAAAUAUUUCUUAUCUGCAGUUAUUUCAAACACAGCAGCUGGAUUUAAACAUGAUUGAACAGGAAAUGAGAACAGAGAAAAACAGAAUCUGCUUUACUGCUGCAACAGGACUAGAAGUCUGUUUUAUCUGAUCAGUAAAGACAAUAAAACAACAAACUAUCAACACAAUUAUUGAAGUAUUUUCUUAUUUUGGUUCAAUAUUUUGCUUGUCUUGUGUUAUUUUUUU
Amphiprion ocellaris (clown anemonefish) is the source of this 575-nucleotide long non-coding RNA. The record is from Ensembl. Lineage: Eukaryota; Metazoa; Chordata; Actinopteri; Pomacentridae.